CUGAAACAAACAAAACAAAUGAGUGAGCUAGAAGUCUAGUAUGUGACUUGGCCCACAAUCAUAAUUUUACUUAUAGAGUUCACAUAUACAAUAAUCAGAUCAGAAUUUUUCAUAUAUUCAGAACAUAUAGAAUAAUAGAACAAAUUCUACCCCCAUCCGCUACACACCAUCUCUGUCUAACCAAUCACACCAAUUAGGACUACAAGAGUCCAUCCAUCCAAUCACACCGGUACGUGGCGGUAUGCCAUUCAUAAAUGUGUCGUUGAGCUGCUAGAUAGAAGUUUGCGAUUUAACCGCUAGAAUUGCAGUAAAAAUUCCAUAAUACACUUUCUCCAUCAUAUCAAAACCCACCCCAAAUGCAUAUGCAACAACAUAUAGCAUAUAUACAUAUCUCAUAAUUUGUAUGGCAUGCAUAGCGAAACAUAUAAUUUGUAGAACAUAACAUAUCGCACAACUUAUACUAAACGAAGCCUACUUAUCAUGCUUUCUAAUAAUACUCAUGUGUAACAUAUUGAAUUUUAUGUUUUUAUAAGCUUAAAAAAGGCACAUGGAUCCAAUUUUCAAGUUCUAUUAUUGGCCUAUAAUUGAGCAUUCAUAUUAGCCAAAAGAGGACCCACAUGGCCCAAUAAGCCAGCCCGUGUGGUCCACAUGGGCUACCUAUUCAGGCCGUGUAAUCACAUAUGGUCGUGUGCUCCACAUGACCUGGUACACGACCAUGUGGUGCACAUGUUUUCCACAUGGCCGUGUGAUGUUGGGCAGUUUCAAAAACAACCCCUGUUUUAGGGUUUUUUCGAGAUUCAGUCAAGUUUUUUGGG
RNAcentral lists this long non-coding RNA (815 nucleotides) under Gossypium raimondii (Peruvian cotton). Its description in RNAcentral is "long non-coding RNA (GRAI_LNC008118)". Lineage: Eukaryota; Viridiplantae; Streptophyta; Magnoliopsida; Malvales; Malvaceae. The record is from RNAcentral.